Molecule: long non-coding RNA, 2003 nt
Filed under: Bos indicus x Bos taurus (hybrid cattle)
Lineage: Eukaryota; Metazoa; Chordata; Mammalia; Artiodactyla; Bovidae
Description: lncRNA (ENSBIXG00000008416.1)
Source: RNAcentral
UGUGCGUGUUAGUCGUUCAGUCGUGUCCACUCUUUGCGACCCCAUGGCCUGUAGCCCACCAGACUCUUCUGUCUGUGGGAUUUCCCAGCAAGAAUACUGGAGCGGGUUGUCAUUCCCUUCCUCCGGGGAUCUUCCCGACCCAGGGAUCGGACCUGGGUCUCCUGCACUGCAGGUGGAUUCUUUACCGUCUGACUACCAGGGAAGCCCAUUAGAUUUAAGAGUUCAGCGCUAACUUGUGCUGUCAUCAGAGCUGGUUGGAAGGAAGAGCUGGGGCUGGGAGCCAGCCUCUAUGAAGCUGGAAGGCAAGCACCCAAGACAGCAAGUGAAGCCACCUGUAGGGAAUUUAGGGAAGAGAGAUGGGGCGGAAGCUGGGGAGCACACGGUGUGGAGGGAGAGGCUCUGUUUGCCUGGUUCUGCUUGGAGUCUGGCGUGAGAUUCACUUCACUUUCAAGACAAGUGCUGUUGGGGGACAGCCCAGCCUGCCUGCCAUCGCCCUGUGGAUAUUUCCGUGCUCAUGAUGGAGACUGCUGGUGUGUCCUCUCAGAGUCAUCCUGUCGCUCCGAAGGUGUGUCUGCAGGAAGGUCACCAGGGCUGCGAGAAGGCCUGGGUGGUAACCGACCCAGGGAGCGUCCACUUUCCAAGUCCAGCCCCGCCGCACCCUGGCGAGCUGGCUCCUGUCCUGCGUGCACUUCUACGCCCUGUGGACUCACCUCUUCUCUUGGCCAGGGGGCCAGCUCCAUGUCCCCGCCCCGUUGGUGAAAGUGUUUUGUGUGAUUCCUCCUGUUGCCUGGAGAACACUUUUCUCUUUUAUUAUUGUUUUGGUUUUAACCGGAGAGAAUGUGGUGAGAGGGAAGACUGCGGAGCUAAGGGAGAGCUUUGCUGUAGCCAGAGAAGAGCCGGGGGCAGGGCUUCCAGAAGGAGCCCCGAGAAUGUGGUCCUGUCGCACUGCCAGCUCUCAGGAAAGGGCCACGCCUUGGAGUGCCAUCCCUACACGCAGCAUGCAGAGCCCGGCAAGGCACCAAGCAGCCCAGGGCGGCGGCCCAUUGAGAUAACCAAGCGGACAGACAAUCAGCGGGGCCGCCUUGAGUGUUCUCUGCUUACGACUCUGGGGCCUUUACGUUUGGAACAACUGAAAGGAACUGGGGAGAGAAGUGAGAGUGGAAAAAAAAGGGCAUCUUUUUUUUUUUUUUUGAAUUGCAUCUUUUUUUUGCUGUGUUUUUAAAAUUUUUAUUUGAAUUUAAAUUUUAACUUGAUUUAUAAUAUUGUGUUAGUCUUCCACUUACAGAAGAGGGAUUCAGUAUUCCUGCAGAUCCCAUCCCAUUAUAGAUUAUUACAAAAUAUGGGUUAUAAUUCCCUGUGGUCUGCAGCAGAUCACUGUUGUAUCUCUGUUUUCUGUACCGUCAUUUCUGUCUGCUAAUCCCACGCUCAUAAUUUGUCCCUCCCUUUGGUAUCCACAAGUUUGUUGUAUAUGUCUGUGAGUCUGCUUCUGUUUUGUAUAUACGUUCAUUUGUAAUAUUGUUUAAGCUCCACAUAUAAGUGAUAUCAUAGUAUUUGUCUUUCUCUGUCUGACGUAUCAGUAAGCGUAAUAUUCCCUAGGUACAGCCACAUUGCUGUAAAUGGCCAUUGUCAGGGUUGAGAAAUAUUCCAUUGUAUACGUAUGUGUAUAUGCCAUAUCUUCUUAAUCUAAUCGUCUGUUGGCGGAGACUAGGGGUGUUUCCAUGUCUUAGCUAUUGUAAGUAGUGCUGCUCUGAACAUUCAGAUGCAUGUAUCUUUUUGAGUUAGUAUUUUUGUUUAUUUCCAGAUAUACGCCCAGAAGUGGAAUUGCUGGAUCAUAUGACAAUUCUAUUUUUUAGGUUUUUUUUUUUUUAAUUGGAGUAUAUUAACAGUUUCUUUAUAAUGUUGUGUUUGACUGCAUUACUUUGAUUUAGUAAAAAUGACCUGAGUUUCCAGAGCAAAAUUCCUAUGGGCCACAUAUAAAUAAAAUGGAGACAGCCUAGCGUCCA